CAACAAAAUAAUGUAUUUAAGAACCGAAGUAGGAAAACUGUAAUCGUGAACGCGAACCCAAACUGAAUAACGAAUCGUAAUUAAAUAUUCAAGCAUUGUACGUUGAACACGACAUAUAAAAGAUUCUGCUUAUCGUCAGCUCUAAUAGAAAGCUAUUAUGUUACCAAGCUAAGCUGUCUACUAUCUGGAAGCCAGAACAAGAGUGCAUGCAUCUAGCGACAAAGCAUCGCUUUAAGAUUAACCUCAUCAAUUUAAGAUAAUUCGUCUCGUAACGCGCUGCCGUGUGAUCGGCGCUCAUUAAGUUCGUCAAUAACAAAACAGACCAUUCACUAAAACUUAACGAAAGCCGGAAAUUUUGAAAAAUGGAACGUAUUUUCAAUAACUCCUAUUUUCGUCUAAAGAAAUAUGGUCUAUGUAAUAUAAAAUCGUAGUGAUACUUCUCGGUGGCACGUUGAAGAGGGGAGACCUGAAGCAAUAGUAGAAACACGUCGGGAACAUCGUUGGAGGUCACGUAGUGUCUAUACCGAAUUACUCGCUUACGCAAACUGAUCCUUAUGGUACCAAGGGAAAUAUGCGAUGCCGCAGUCGGUGGCGCGACAACAAAGCGCGAAUCACGAAAGCAGCCCCGACCUCCCGAUUUCCGACACUAAUCCUCAAAUCCUAAGGAUUUUGGCAGCUUAAGCUUGGAGAAAAUGAAAGGAAAUUUUUGAAACAUGGAAUGUAAAACUCAACAGAAUAACAAAUCUCUGGUAUCAUUUACUUACCUUAAGACAAAAUUAAUUUAGUUAUACUAUAAAUUAAAUUCCAUUCUGAA
Bombyx mori (domestic silkworm) is the source of this 814-nucleotide long non-coding RNA. RefSeq lists it as uncharacterized. The record is from RefSeq and is a predicted model, not a curated record. The transcript is spliced from 4 exons. NCBI's taxonomy places the organism in Eukaryota, Metazoa, Arthropoda, Insecta, Lepidoptera, Bombycidae.